RNAcentral lists this ribosomal RNA (319 nucleotides) under uncultured bacterium. RNAcentral describes it as "bacterial SSU rRNA". It matches the Rfam family "Bacterial small subunit ribosomal RNA", at positions 18 to 344 of the family's 1533-position model. The record is from RNAcentral.
CAUGGCUCAGGAUGAACGCUAGCGGCAGGCCUAACACAUGCAAGUCGAGGGAGGAUCUUUCGGGCUUCGACCGGCAUAAGGGUGCGUAACGCGUAUACAAUCUGCCUGUCACGUAGGGAUAGCCCGAAGAAAUUUGGAUUAAUAACUAAUGGUAUAUAGUUGUGGCAUCACAUUUAUAUUAAAGCUGAGGCGGUGAAAGAUGAGUAUGCGUUCUAUUAGCUAGUUGGAGAGGUAAUGGCUCCCCAAGGCUACGAUAGAUAGGGGUUCUGAGAGGGAUAUCCCCCACACUGGUACUGAGAUACGGACCAGACUCCUACGG